GGCACAAUAGGCCUCAGCUCCUCUGUCUCUUCUGUGUCCAGCAGGAGCCCGCGGUGAUUCAUUGCGCCAAUUAGGGACUCUGCAGCCCGUAGCUCGGGCUGUGUGAAGGGUCUCCUUUGGGACCCACGAAACCCAUCAGCCGCUGCCGCUGAUCUUUAAGGAAAGGUCAAGCAGGACGCGCUAGUGCCAGGCUGUGCCUCUGACCCCAUUGCUGCUGUCACCGCCAUCACACUGUCACCAUCCUUCCCUGACAUCAACUCCGACUUCAUCAGCCUCCAGCAUGGACUGAAGAUCAGGGACAUCCCAUAAUCCUCCAGGCCUUCGGCUCCCAUACCUCUUGGCUUCUCAGCCUCUCCAGCAGAACCUCCAGCACAGUGGCUGGCUGAACUUGACCCUUGGCAGGUUGAGGAGUUUCCAUCUGAGGCAAAAGCUGCUGGUGUUUUCCUGCAUAUCCAGUCCACGUCUUCUGUUGACAGCGAGGCUUGUGGAAUGGACAGCCGUGAAUGGAAGGGACUCUAAGCCCAGGGAGGUGUGCACACUUCCUGCACACUAGACAAGGUCAGCAAUACUCAGAAACGGUUCCCGCUGAAGGAGAAACACAUUUAAAAGUGCAGCCCGCCUACACCCCAGCCCAGUGGUUCUCAGCCUUUCUUAUGCUGCGACCCUCUAAUAUAAGUUCCUCAUGUUGUGGUGACCCCCAACCAUGCAAUUGUUUUGUUUUGCUUUACAACUGUUAAUUCUGCAAUUACUUAU
This 753-nucleotide long non-coding RNA is filed under the name Rattus norvegicus (Norway rat). RNAcentral's name for it is "long non-coding RNA NONRATT014778". The record is from RNAcentral. Lineage: Eukaryota; Metazoa; Chordata; Mammalia; Rodentia; Muridae.